AUGAAUAUAACCUCAGAUAGUUGACCAGAUAACUGGAUGAGGGAUCUGCGUAAAGUAGUCAACCUCUGUAUUUGACCAGAUAACUGGAAGAGGGAUCCUUUUCAAUUAAGUGUUGUUUGUUGUUUUUAGAUGAAAGAUAAAAACUAGAGUUAACAAAGAACAACACAAGAGAUUUAUACUGGUUCACCCAAACAAGGGCUAGUCCAGUCCGACCAACUGUCGGAAUUCACUCGCCUAAAGGUUAUGGCAAAACCUUAGAGUAUCAAGGAAACUCUUAAGAACCUCUCUAAGCUUUAAGGCUACUUCGCUUAGGAACCAGUCUUUUACGGGUAGACUCACACCUUAGAGUAUCAAGGGCACUCUUAAGAACCUCUAACUUUUGCGGGUAAGUUAGUACCUUAGAGUAUCAAGGAACUCUUAAAAACCUCUCUAAGUUUUAAGGCUAUUUCGCUUAGGAACCAGUCUUUUACGGGUAGACUCACACCUUAGAGUAUCAAGACACUCUUAAGAACCUCUAACUUUUACGGGUAAGUUAGUACCUUAGAGUAUCAAUGAACUCUUAAAAACCUCUCUAAGCUUUAAGGCUGCUUCGCUUAGGAACCAGCCUUUUACGGGUAGACUCACACCUUAGAGUAUCAAGGGCACUCUUAAGAACCUCUAACUUUUAUGGGUAAGUUAGUACCUUAGAGUAUUAAGAAACUCUUAAAAACCUCUGAAAUCUUUCAAGGUAGACUCGACCUAAGAGUUUUCCCGGAAACUCUAUAAAACUAAACUAGAGCUUUAUGGCUGAGCUCAAAAACCUUCUCUCACACUUUGGUACUAUUGAGACAACCCUCUCAACCAAAGUGGACACACACAAGAGGUGAUUAGAGGAGUGGAAUAUGAAAGCAAACAACACUUCUUACUUGUAAAGAUGAACAAGAAGAUUAGAAGAAGAAGUUGGAGAGCUUUUGAAGCUUUGGAAAGCUAGGACACUUGAGCACUUGAAUGCUUGGAAGCUUGAAGGCAAAAACGUGUGGGCAAGUGUGGAGUGAAAGCUCUUGAGUUUGCUUGUAGUGUGGUGAGUGAAAAUGAGGGGAUUACCCUUCUAUUUAUAGCCUUGGCCACUUAAUGUCCACCCUUGGAUCUUCAAUGGAUGGCUCCUUGAUUUCUCAUAUAAAUCCAAGCUUUGUCUUUGAUCUUAUCUUGGAUAGUGCUUUUCUUGGAUAGAGUUUGUUGGAGAAUCUUAUCUUUGUAUAAAUUCAAACUUGAAUAGUGUUUUGUCCCCUUGGAAUAUUAUACCUUGAAUAAAGUGUCAAAAGAUAAUAAUAAUAUUCAAGGUAAAAAUGCAAUUAUUCCAAAUAAUAAUAUUCAAGGUGAAAAUGCAAUUAUUCCAAAUAAUAAUAUUCAAGGUGAAAAUGCAAUUCUCCCUAUUUGACUUUUAACUUUGACUUAAACCCUUAACUCAAAUGAUUAAUUAAUUAACUAGAGUUAGGUUUAAUAUCGAUUGACUUAUUUACCCCCUAUUGAUUAAUAGUGUAAUUAGGGUUUAAAUUGACAUGAUUAAAAU
This 1549-nucleotide long non-coding RNA is filed under the name Zostera marina. RNAcentral's name for it is "long non-coding RNA (ZMAR_LNC004223)". Lineage: Eukaryota; Viridiplantae; Streptophyta; Magnoliopsida; Alismatales; Zosteraceae. The record is from RNAcentral.